Small nuclear RNA from Hyla sarda, 136 nucleotides. RefSeq annotates it as U11 spliceosomal RNA. NCBI's taxonomy places the organism in Eukaryota, Metazoa, Chordata, Amphibia, Anura, Hylidae. The transcript has a single exon. The record is from RefSeq and is a predicted model, not a curated record.
AAAAAGGGCUUGUGCUGUGUCUAGCACAUUACUGUUCCCUGCAUUGGGGACGGUGGUGCGGAAUCGAUAUCAAGAGAUUUCGGAAGCAUAAUUUUUGUUAACGGGAUUGCCUGUGAUCGUCAUUCCGGGCGUCCUC